AGUGAACGCUGGCGGUAGACCUAACACAUGCAAGUCGAACGGCAGCACAGUAAGAGCUUGCUCUUACGGGUGGCGAGUGGCGGACGGGUGAGGAAUACAUCGGAAUCUACUUUUUCGUGGGGGAUAACGUAGGGAAACUUACGCUAAUACCGCAUACGACCUACGGGUGAAAGCAGGGGAUCUUCGGACCUUGCGCGAUUGAAUGAGCCGAUGUCGGAUUAGCUAGUUGGCGGGGUAAAGGCCCACCAAGGCGACGAUCCGAAGCUGGUCUGAGAGGAUGAUCAGCCACACUGGAACUGAGACACGGUCCAGACUCCUACGGGAGGCAGCAGUGGGGAAUAUUGGACAAUGGGCGCAAGCCUGAUCCAGCCAUACCGCGUGGGUGAAGAAGGCCUUCGGGUUGUAAAGCCCUUUUGUUGGGAAAGAAAAGCAGCAGGUUAAUACCCCGCUGUUCUGACGGUACCCAAAGAAUAAGCACCGGCUAACUUCGUG
Molecule: ribosomal RNA, 492 nt
Filed under: uncultured bacterium
Lineage: Bacteria
Description: partial 16S ribosomal RNA
Rfam family: Bacterial small subunit ribosomal RNA
Source: RNAcentral